GUCUCGAUGGUGUAACGGAUAGCACGAGAGUUUCCGAAGCUCUUGGUCCUGGUUCAAAUCCGGGUCGGGACA
This 72-nucleotide transfer RNA is filed under the name Fimbriiglobus ruber. It matches the Rfam family "tRNA". Rfam says of the family: Transfer RNA (tRNA) molecules are approximately 80 nucleotides in length. Their secondary structure includes four short double-helical elements and three loops (D, anti-codon, and T loops). Lineage: Bacteria; Pseudomonadati; Planctomycetota; Planctomycetia; Gemmatales; Gemmataceae. The record is from Rfam by way of RNAcentral.